GGGGAAUAUUGCACAAUGGGCGCAAGCCUGAUGCAGCAACGCCGCGUGAGGGACGACGGCCUUCGGGUUGUAAACCUCUUUUAGUAGGGAAGAAGCGAAAGUGACGGUACCUGCAGAAAAAGCACCGGCUAACUACGUGCCAGCAGCCGCGGUAAUACGUAGGGUGCAAGCGUUAUCCGGAAUUAUUGGGCGUAAAGAGCUCGUAGGCGGUUUGUCGCGUCUGCUGUGAAAACUGGGGGCUCAACCCCCAGCCUGCAGUGGCUACGGGCAGACUAGAGUGCGGUAGGGGAGAUUGGAAUUCCUGGUGUAGCGGUGGAAUGUGCAGAUAUCAGGAGGAACACCGAUGGCGAAGGCAGAUCUCUGGGCCGUAACUGACGCUGAGGAGCGAAAGCAUGGGGAGCGAACA
This 406-nucleotide ribosomal RNA is filed under the name uncultured Microbacteriaceae bacterium. Its description in RNAcentral is "bacterial SSU rRNA". It matches the Rfam family "Bacterial small subunit ribosomal RNA", at positions 356 to 774 of the family's 1533-position model. The record is from RNAcentral. Lineage: Bacteria; Bacillati; Actinomycetota; Actinomycetes; Micrococcales; Microbacteriaceae.